GGGAGUGGGAAAGAGGUGGCAUCGGCGGUUCAAGACUGAGUUUUCUAUCUCUUCAGUGCCUCUUUCAACAAUGAAGAUCAAACCAGGUUUUGUGCAAAUAUCUGCUGAGUGAACUACUUAUUUGAAAAUACAUCAUUGGUUAAUAUUCCCUUUUGCUCAUUGAAAUCUCAAAGACUACAGACCCCGCACAAGACAUUCUGACAUUCCCGUCUUUGAAAUGAAUGACAGCAAUGAUAAAUAUGGCUCACCUCCAGAGAUACAGAUCUCACAACUUCAUAUUUUUAAUAUAAAUUAUUAAUCUGAGGUGUGGUGCAAUUCCAUUAGAUGAAAGAGAUCUACACAUUCAGAAGCACAUGAUUCUUCCCCCUUCCAUGAUUCCAGUGGCCAAUAGACAAACUACAAUAAAGCCAUGCCCUGACUGGAUGUGCCUAACAUUUGUCUGGUGCUUAAAGGAGUUGGCUGCAUGCGUGGAAAUGUUGGAAAGUCACCAAAAAUAGUUCUCCAAGUCAGAAGCGGUGCAAAAGCUGCCUCAGCUCUUGGUGGAUUUUCAAUUUCUCCCAGCCAUCUCUGUUUCGCUAAAGGUUUCUGAAGACAGUGGGAGUUUCCCUGCACAAGCCCUCUUCUCUUGUCUGCCACCCUGUGAGACAUGGCUUUUGCCUUCCACCAUGAUUGUGUGGCCUCCCCAACCACGUGGAACUAUAAUGAAGAUAUUAUACCAUUAUAUGCUCUUGAAUCUGUCUCAUUGUGACUUGGCGAAGAGGCAGUGAAUCUGCCAAAAAGAAGUAGAGCAGCUGUGAAGAUGCCAACACAAUUGAGUACUCUUUCUCUACAUAUUUCUAAAUAUGGCAAUUUAUUGGACACUUAUGAGCAUGGAAUGACAAUGGGGUCAAUUUAACCAUACGGCAAUGCUGAGACACCUUCAUUAUGACCUUUCCCUGGUAUAAGUUAUGUGAUAAUGAAUGCAUGUUUAGUCACACACUGUAGGUACAGAUGGGAAAAAAGAAAGCAUAAAAUAUAAAACAUGAUGUCCAGGUUUCAAAUAAGAAUUCUAAAAUGUUAUUUAAUUAAUGAAAUGAAAAUACUUUACUUUAGAAAAAGAAUAUUGAAUCUCUUUGAUGUAUAAAAUGUAUAUUUCAAAUUAAAAAUUCAAAAGAAACAAA
RNAcentral lists this long non-coding RNA (1160 nucleotides) under Homo sapiens (human). RNAcentral's name for it is "long intergenic non-protein coding RNA 1192". Lineage: Eukaryota; Metazoa; Chordata; Mammalia; Primates; Hominidae. The record is from RNAcentral.